This 439-nucleotide ribosomal RNA is filed under the name uncultured bacterium. Its description in RNAcentral is "partial 16S ribosomal RNA". It matches the Rfam family "Bacterial small subunit ribosomal RNA", at positions 339 to 795 of the family's 1533-position model. The record is from RNAcentral.
CUACGGGAGGCUGCAGUGGGGAAUAUUGCACAAUGGAGGAAACUCUGAUGCAGCAACGCCGCGUGGAGGAUGACACAUUUCGGUGCGUAAACUCCUUUUAUGAGUCAAGAUAAUGACGGUAGCUCAUGAAUAAGCGCCGGCUAACUCCGUGCCAGCAGCCGCGGUAAUACGGAGGGCGCAAGCGUUACUCGGAAUCACUGGGCGUAAAGAGCGUGUAGGCGGGUAGAUAAGUUUGAAGUGAAAUCCAAUGGCUUAACCAUUGAACUGCUUUGAAAACUGUCUACCUAGAAUAUGGGAGGGGUAGAUGGAAUUUCUGGUGUAGGGGUAAAAUCCGUAGAGAUCAGAAGGAAUACCGAUUGCGAAGGCGAUCUACUGGAACAUUAUUGACGCUGAGACGCGAAAGCGUGGGGAGCAAACAGGAUUAGAUACCCUUGUAGUC